CUUCAUACGUAGUCGCAACACUUCGUUUUCAGACAGUUGAUUUAUUGCCGAUUUAUUACAUCAAAUCUAUUUAUAAUUUGAAACGUGUUGUUAUCAGUUCUUUUUCUUCCUUGUGGUCGUUUUUAUUAUAUUUUUGUCUUAACAUUGACCUUUUAAAAGUUGCGGUUUGUAAAUGCAUAUGUCGUCAACCAUCAAUCCGCUCGCAAAUCCGAAAGGAGUAAAGACGCUUUGCGAACUUUGCCAGAAACCUGCAAAACUGCGGUGCACAAACUGUCCAGUCACGUAUUACUGUGACCCAGACCAUCAGCAGGCAGACUGGACCAGUAUUCAUGAAAAAGUGUGUCCUCUACUGGUGUCCAUUCACUCACAUCCACCCCUCCACACUUUGCAGGCCGACCGGGAACGUCACCACAGAGAGACCCUGAAGAAACAGGAGCAGCUUAUAGAGAUUGCACAUUUAGAGGCACAGAAAUGGGUGUCCAAGAAGAGUUUUCACCAUGCGCUACCAGCUGCUCUUCUGUUCCUGCGGUGGGCCAUGCGGCUGUACGGAUCUCAUUCUGUCAAACUGGUCCCAGCUUAUCUUCUGCUUGCGGAGGCUAACAUAGGUUUAGAUUCUAUGUCCCAGGCUCGAGAGUAUCUCACUAAGGCUGAGUGGGCAGUAAUGAACACACCAGACUGCAAUCCCAUUGUCCAUCAUCAGCUACAUAGAUCCCUGGGCCGCCUGCAUGCUGCUACAGGAAAAUACUCAUCUGCUCUCUUUCAUUUCUCCAAUGACGUGUAUUAUGCCAGUGAAGUGUUUGGGUUGGACAGCACUGUGACAUUUAGAGGAUAUUUCCUCAUGGCGGAUGUGUUUCUGAAAGAAAACAAGCCUGACGUUACCUGCUCGCUCUACACAGAGGUGGCAUGUUUCUGGCACACUCACCUGUGUAAGUUGAUGGAAGGGAUCAGUCAAAGUGGCAAUCAAGCAGAGGACUGUUUUGCUGAUGCCCAGUGUGUGGAGGUGGAUGGGAUGUUGAGAUGUAUUCUAGAGUUUGAGGAACAGUAUCCGAAUCCACGCUCUGAUCAGUCAACCUUAUUGGUUCAUUCUCUGGCAAUGCUGUGGUUGCUAUGCAACAACUACACCAAGAUGUGAAUGGAGACCAAUGGUUUUUGUUUACCGACUGAAUACCUUCAUUUGUGGUUUGCAGAAGAAAUAAAGUCAUACAGGCCCUGGAAUAUGGAAAAAAGGCUGAGCUGUUGAUUCAGGGGUCGAGUGAGCAGAACAGUAUGAGAGAAUCCAUCCAGAAUCUUCUGCAUUAUGCUGAAAAACAUUUGCAAUAAAACUGUCAUGUUAUUCAUUAGA
Triplophysa dalaica is the source of this 1342-nucleotide RNA transcript. It is a transcript of the gene named zinc finger, MYND-type containing 12, with no coding region annotated. The transcript is spliced from 9 exons. Lineage: Eukaryota; Metazoa; Chordata; Actinopteri; Cypriniformes; Nemacheilidae. The record is from RefSeq and is a predicted model, not a curated record.